CCCAUUUUCCACAGAUUUAUUGGCGCCCUCUUUGCAUAUCCAGGGAAUCCCAAAGCUUUUCCCAAAUCCCGGGAUUUUUCCCCCGAGCCUUUCCCGGGAUUUUUUUUUUUCCAUGGAAUUUUUUAUUUUUCCAGGAUUUUUCUGGGAUUUCCAUCCCGGGGGGGGGAGCUCUUGCAUAGCCAGGGGGAAAGAAAAAAAAUGGGAAAAAAAAGGGGAAAAAAAAGAGCAGGAAAAUGGGGAUAAAAGCAGGAAAUUUGGGAUAAAAGCAGGAAAAUCGGAAUAAAAGCAUCAGGACCUCCAAGGAGUUAAAAUUCCCUAAAAAUUCAGGAGAUUCCCUAAAAAAAAUCCCCCCCUGAGCCAAAGCGUUUCAGGAAUGGGAAUUUUGUUGGGAAUUUCAAUCCUGAUGGGAUUUUUUUCCUAUUUUUUUUUUUAUUGUUUUGACCCCAAAUUUUCUGGGAAAAAAAAAAUUGGGAAUUUUGUGGGGGGGAAAAAAUGGGAUGGGAGUGGAGGGAUUUGCAUAAAAGCUCCGGGUUUUUCCAGCAGGGCUCAUCCUGAUUUCUCAGGGGAGGCCAAAAAUUCCCAAAAUUUUGUGGGAUGAUCCCAAAAAAAUCCAAAAAAAAAAGGCGAUCCCGGAAUUCCCAGAGCCUGGAAUAAAGUGCAGAAUGUCCAUGGGGGGGAGGGGAAAAAAGGGGAUGGGAAUUCCCAAAUUUUUAAAUAUGGGGAGAAAAUGUGGGAAAAGGGGGGAGAGGUGGGGAAUGGGGGAGCCCAAAGUUCUGGAUCCAUGGAGAUCCCAAAGUUUUUGAUCCAUUGGGAAUUGGGGAUCCCAAACUUCUCAGUCCAUGGAGAUCCCAAAGUUCUUGAUCCACAGGGAAUUGGGGAUCCCAAAGUUCUCAGUCCAGGAAAACCCACCUGGAGCAGGAGAGCCCCAGAACCAACUCCAGGAUCGAGGCCCUGGAAGAUCUCCCAUGGAAGAACCUCCAGAGAUCCACCAGGACAAACCCUUUGCUGGAACAUCUCCUGGGAUCCACCUGGAGAAAUCCUCCCCUGGAAGAACUUCCCGUGUCCACCCAGAGCAACCUUUGCUGGAAGAUCUCCUGGGAUCCACCUGGAAAAUCCUUCCCUGGAACAGCCUUGGGAUCCACCAGGAGAAACCCUUUGCUGGAACAUCUUCCAGGAUCCACCUGGACCAAUCCUCCCCUGGAAGAACUUCCCGUGUCCAUCCAGACCAGUCCUUUGCUGGAACAUCUCCUGGGAUCCACCUGGUCAGAUCCUCCCCUGGAAGAACCUCCUGACAUCUCCCCACCCAACCCUCCCACACCACGUCCCCCACCCCAAUGACGGUCCAACAGCAUCAUGGUGGCCACAAUCAUGA
This 1372-nucleotide long non-coding RNA is filed under the name Zonotrichia albicollis (white-throated sparrow). RNAcentral describes it as "lncRNA (ENSZALG00000000744.1)". The record is from RNAcentral. Lineage: Eukaryota; Metazoa; Chordata; Aves; Passeriformes; Passerellidae.